Molecule: long non-coding RNA, 2114 nt
Organism: Humulus lupulus (European hop)
Lineage: Eukaryota; Viridiplantae; Streptophyta; Magnoliopsida; Rosales; Cannabaceae
Exons: 2
Source: RefSeq, a predicted model, not a curated record
UAUGGAAUUCAAUGAAUAUCCAUGCAUUUUUUUUUAGGAAAUUUAUCAAAAAUGACUUAAAAAUAUAAACUAUAUGUUGAUAGGUUUUUUAGCCAACUGACGCGGAGUCAAAAUAAUUAAUUCGAGAGUUUUCACUAGACCAGUCAAUGAACAUUAAAUGAGCCAAGAACCUAGUAAUGAUGAACAAUAAAUAAUAAAGAAUACCGAGAUUUAUAGAGGUUCGACCCCAAGGAUUGGUAAUGACCUACUUUCUCUUGGAUUUGUAUUAAUCUUGAAGGUUUACACAAGAUCACAAUGGAUUACAAGUGGAUUUCUAUGUGUAAAAGACAAUACAAUAAGGUAGAAUCGCUAGUAGGUAUGAAAAUAAAGCUGCCCGGAAUGUAUCUAAAUACUAGCCGGUAGACGAGUUUAUGAACCCUCUCCACUGUAGUGGAGGGCUUGUAUUUGUAAUGCUCUGUUGGCCUAGGGGCUGCACACGACGUAACUGAUGGUGGAAAUAUCUCAUUCUUCUCGCAGGUAGUUACAUUUCUAUUUGUUAGGAAGCUUGACCAGGUUUUCAGGGCUGUUAGGCUUCCUCUGUGGGUGGUUAGGAGAUUCUUGUGGACUUCUAACGGAGAGUGUAACUUCUUUUCGGCGACCAGGUUUGGCUGUCCAUCAUACCGAGCAACUGAGCCUUUGGUGAUAGUAUGUCGAGCAAUAACUUGACGUAUACCCCGCAGGUAUACAUCGAUCAGGCUGUCGGGGGGGUCUACCCAGUCUGCUCCACGUGUCCAAGCUUAGUGCCACAUCAGAUAUGUCAAUUUUUUGGAUAACACUUGCCCCCCAAGUUUGCAAUGGUGCUAAGCAGCAUGUAAACUUUUUUCUGGGGACCACCACGUCCAGCCUGGUUAGGGGUAUAUGCUCCUUGCUACGUGGCAUAGCGUCUGAUACAAUUAAUAGCCUUAGUAUUUCUUUAAGUUUCCAAUAAAUGACUUUUCACUCUUUCCUGCCUAUUUUUGGAGCCAUAAAGCAUCAUGAUGACCUCUCUUAAAAAUUGUACCGACAGUUGUGCAAUUACCAAAGAGUGGGCGUGUGUGUGGAGACGUGCCUGCAGCGGUUUAGGAGACGUGAGUGGAGGGACGUGUGUGUGGGCGUGCUGACGUGUCUUGAGAGAUGUGCCUGCAGCGAUUGAGGGGACUACUGAGUGGGAAGAUUCAUUAAAUUUCUGUAGGGCGAAGCUCACUUCUUUUUGCCUAUAACUAGGGGUGCCCAACCCUUUCUUCUAUUUUCACCUUCUUCUUUACAUCACACAAACCAGAGCCAACCUAAGAAACCCUAAAUCUCCUCCUCCCAAUUUUUCUGAAAGAGCUAGUCCAUGCUUCGACUUCUAUGUCACACCACCCUCACACUACGAAUACGCUUCUGGCGCCAUACUCCUGCAGCAAGUUGGUGUGAUGAAUCAUGAGAAAAAAAAUACAAAAAGAAGCUAAAUGGUGGGAAAACGAGGCUUUUGGCGGUUAUUGGACUAAAAAUGAUAUCAAGGAUGCUUCAAGGACAGGUUUUGAUGAAGAGAUGAGCUUAAGGAUCAAAUCUGAGAAAAAUUUAAUUAAAGUCGCGACUUGAGGGGAAGUCAACGACGUAUAUGUUUCUGGAAAGAUUUAGUGUCGCGACUUGGGCAUACAAGUCGCGACUCAAGAGGAAACAGAGGCUAAGCUCAGGAGUAAAAGUAGACACGGGCCGCGACUUGCCUAAGCUGAGUCGUGGCGCCUGAAGCCAAUAUACGAGAAGAAAAGGGCUAGAAAUAGACAUGGGCCGCGACCCAGAAAAUGCCAAUUCGCGGCCGCACAAGGAAAAAUUCAGAAACUUGUAUUGUUUUUUACUAUAAAUUCGUGUUUAAGGUUUAAUUAAGUCAUUAGGUCAGUUUUUAAUUACGUUUUUUAGAGACUAAUAGUAGAUUUUAGGUUAAAUAUUCUGCAGUUUCAUAUUUUUAUUUCUUUUUCAACUUUAUGAAUUUUAUGUUUAUGAAUAAUUAUUUGGUUUAUUUAGUCAUGUCUGAUAAGAACUAAACAAUUUUUACCUAAGGUUUAAUGUAGUCACUUGGAUUUCUAUUUAAUUGAAUUAUGAUAUUCUUUUGA